AUGCAGCAAAAGAGGAUGGGUCACUUGGAAGACUUGUGAACGAUAAUAAUGUCAACCCCAAUGCCAAGAUGAAGUACCUAAACAUACAAGGGAAGCCCCAUCUGUGUUUGUUUGCAACACGAGACAUCAGUCAAGGAGAGGAGGUCACCUAUAAUUAUGGUGACUCGGAUUGGCCGUGGAGAUGCAAGCUUCAGAAAUCUGAAGGAAAGUCUUCGGACGGGGAGCACGGUGAAGGUCCAUCUACAUCCGAGCCUUCUCAGAGUACUCAAAAGGUGUCAACAAGUAAGAGGCAAGAAAAGAGAUCUCCAGGUGCAUCAACUAGUCUGCUCAAAAGAUAUGAAAAGAUGAUAACAGUGAGCUGAUUGAGUCUGCUCAGAGGGACGAAACUGACCAGCUUGAGACCUCUGUGGAUGGCCUGAAUCCAACAUUCACACAACUUGGUCUCUUCAACUGGGUUGAAGAGAUGAUAACAGUGAGCUGAUUGAGUCUGCUCAGAGGGACGAAACUGACCAGCUUGAGACCUCUGUGGAUGGCCUGAAUCCAACAUUCACACAACUUGGUCUCCUCAACUGGGUUGAAGAGAUGAUAACAGUGAGCUGAUUGAGUCUGCUCUGAGGGACGAAACUGACCAGCUUGAGACCUCUGUGGAUGGCCUGAAUCCAACAUUAACACAACUUGGUCUCCUCAACAGGGUUGAAGAGUGUCAAGCAUCACCUGGUGUGCACAACAAUAUCCUCCUUGGACAAGUAUGUUCAAUGUUUGGGACCUGUAUCCUCCAAGUGGCGUGGCUAUGAAUGCAGAGAUAAGAUAUUUCGUGGAUUGGUACAAAGUGCGUCUUGGGGUAUUAGGUCGGUAUAUUUGCUGUGUUCAAAUGUACAAACCAUUCUAUAAUGAAAAACUUAUGACAAAUAAUCCUUAAUUCACAGCAUAGGAUGCUAUAUCAACUAUUUCCAAAAUUGUGAAGUGUAAGUAUAUCAUUGAAAUUACUUUAAAGUGUUUUAUUUUUGCCUUAUUGGUACUGACAAGAUCUCUUAUGGUUUAAUGCUAGAGGUUCUUUUCCAAUACACCAGCUGUUACACUUAAAAGUGUAAACAUGGGCAACAAUUAUCUCUAUAAAAGGGGACAUUUUUGCAUGUUCAUGUAUUCCAGAUCUCUGUAUUGCUCUGACAGGAACAACUGUGGUAUUUAAACUUGUACUAUAUAUUCAAAAUGUCUUCCAGUUUGUUCUGGCAUCAAUCCUCAGAAGAGUUACAAAUGAUAACCAACACCCAUCACAGUUUCUGGAGUGCAUGUCCGAUGAGGAAUGCAC
Molecule: long non-coding RNA, 1309 nt
Organism: Pseudoliparis swirei
Lineage: Eukaryota; Metazoa; Chordata; Actinopteri; Perciformes; Liparidae
Exons: 7
Source: RefSeq, a predicted model, not a curated record